ACCAGGAGGCUAAUCUCAGCUUCUUCUGACCAUCCCAGCCUGUAAUCCACCACAGAUCUGAUGAACACCUCUGCUGAGAAGAUUUGCCAUCCAGAUUUUGAUCAAGUCAGAAUGCUUAUCCCAGCUGAACCCUGCAGUGCUGAUAAAACUGCUGUCUGCCACCAAAGAAGCCCACACAAACAGGCCAAGCAGGAACCAGGUUUUGGAACCCCUAAAGAUCUUGUAUCUAGCUGCAGCAGGCAACUACAAUGUCUUCUCUUAGUCCCUGAAGCUCAGCAGCUGUGUUCUCUCAAGCACCUGGAUGGCAAGAACAGGCAUGGAAGAAAUAUCCAAACUAGCACGGAGCUGAUAUCUCUCCCUCACUGUGACAUACCAGGACCCAAAGCACCCUCAGGUGUGUGCACUUAGGAUUCAUCUGCUAAGCUGGAAUUCUUGGGAAGCAAGCACACAUUCUUCAGGAUU
This is a long non-coding RNA of Pogoniulus pusillus (Red-fronted tinkerbird), 462 nucleotides long. RefSeq lists it as uncharacterized. NCBI's taxonomy places the organism in Eukaryota, Metazoa, Chordata, Aves, Piciformes, Lybiidae. The record is from RefSeq and is a predicted model, not a curated record. The transcript is spliced from 3 exons.